CACGUAGGCACCAAGCGUUGUCCGGAUUUAUUGGGCGUAAAGCGCGUGUAGGCGGUUUCUUAAGUCUGAUGUGAAAGCCCUGGGCUCAACCCAGGAAGUGCAUUGGAUACUGGGAGACUUGAAUACGGGAGAGGGUAGUGGAAUUCCUAGUGUAGGAGUGAAAUCCGUAGAUAUUAGGAGGAACACCGGUGGCGAAGGCGGCUACCUGGACCGAUAUUGACGCUGAGACGCGAAAGCGUGGGGAGCAAACAGG
Molecule: ribosomal RNA, 253 nt
Filed under: uncultured bacterium
Lineage: Bacteria
Description: partial 16S ribosomal RNA
Rfam family: Bacterial small subunit ribosomal RNA
Source: RNAcentral